AUACAUAUGUAAAUUCUACAGAAUUCAAACUACCCGCCAACCGGCAUAUUUACUUAUGCUUUGUUUUACCGGCUGUCAUUUUACUGAAUAGGUUAGAUCACGAGAGAAGAACGGUAAUUCAUGACUUAAGAAAUCGAUUCUCUAUUCGACAGAAUCGAUCGUAUUAAUUACCCCAAAGAUUUAGGUUAUUACAAAUCGAUUUUUUCUACGCCAUGCCGUUGAAGGUUAUCCUCCGUAUCUCCAUGAACGAAAACACAAAAGGUGAAAGAAUAGAAUGUGUAGAAUUUAUAAUAAAACUAGAAGAUGAAGUGAAUUACGUUUUUCCACUGGAAUUGUCAGCGCAAAUUGGGUGUAAAUUCUAUAGAAUUCAAACUACCUGCUAAUCGACAUAUUUACUUUUGCUUUGUUUUACCGGUAACCUUUUUACUGAAUAGAUUAGAUCACGAGAGAAGAACGGUAAUUUAGGACUUAAGAAAUCGAUUCUCGAUUCGACAGGUAAAAUUUCUAGUAGAUUUGUUAUUAAUGAUUAUUGUAUAUAAUUCAAUUUAUUCCUAAAAUAAACUCGAUUUUCCAGAAUCGAUCGUCUUAUUUACCCCAAGGAUUUACGUUAUUACACAUAUAAUGAAGCAGUAGAACAAUCAGUAACUGACAACUCCUCCAGGAAUAUCCUGAAAUAAUUGAUUUUACCAGAGAACAGAUUUAAUAUGUAUGCAGCUCUUCAGAACUCGCGUUAUCCAAGUAGACCAAUACAAUCAUCCCGCUGAAUCAUCCAGAUACACCUGCUGGAAUAACAUUGCCGUCAUUAUCGUGUCUCUUUCACGCAGCACACGCGAAAGCUCGCGUGCACCUUCUUCAUUUUGUCCGUUUGGCUCCGAAGCUUUUCCAUCCUUUACCUUUGCCUUUGCUGUUAGUUGCGCGCGUCUCUUGCCAUUCUUCGCGUAUCGUAUUUACGUUAUAUAAGCUUGGCUUGUGCUGACAAUGCAUGGAGAACCGUAGUGUCUGUUCGUUAUCUCGCGCGUUGAAAAAGCCAGAUGCACCGGCGACAAUGCUUAAGAUCCGACAAAGAAUUUCGCCCUGGCUUCUAACUUUUGUGGCUGGUCGUCCUCCUUUUUCUCCUGUUUCAUUCUCUGUCUUUCUUUCUCUGUAUUCUCUGUCCGUCUGUCUGUCUGUCUCUCUAGGUUCUUCAAUCUGUUUGUGCCUGCUCUCAUCUUUUUCUUCCUCCGUUUCUUUCUCUUCUCUCAAGCCUCUUCCUGUGCCUGCGCUCUCUGUCCAUUUCUUUCUUUCAUUUCUUGCUUUCUCCUCGUUAUUUGAUGCAAGAAACGUGACACGGGCCAUUGCAGCACGAGUCAAAGCGUCUCACGCGUAAUUUAACUUCAGCUUCGGUAAACGCAACUCCACGACACACAGCCGUGUUUCUACCCCUUUGUGCUAUGGCCACGAGUCUGCUUCGGCUGUCCACACGACUUUCACUCGUCCACCGCGGACACGUAGACAGCCCUUAUCCCCCGGCGGGACACCAAAAGCCUGGCAUUCCUAGGACUUUGCCCGGGAUAUGUAUUUGACUCUGAUAGCUACAGAGUCACGUGUCUCGAAUAAAAUACCGCUCCGUCCAGACGACAUCCAAGCAGCCGCAUAUGAGUUCCACGUUCCGCGUUAUAUCACACUACGAUGUUUUAUUUAUCAAGUUUGAACUGAUAUUCCCAGCACUGGCGAAACGUUGAACCACUCUUGAAUCUGAUAUAUCGGUAAUUUUAACGCUAAAGCAACACACGUGGCACACCAUUUAUUGUAUCAUUUAUGUUUUAGUUAACCGAGUCCGAUUAUGUUAAAUCACGUGCCAUUUACGCAAAGCCUGAUUUAAAAAACGCUUCAUUGAAAGAUAAGAGGUUGUGCGAGUAAUUUCUAGAGCCGCUGUGAGAUCAAAGUGGCUAACUGAACAUCAACAGCUGCGGUGCCGAAAUAUAUUGAUGACCGUUGGGCCUUCUGAAGUUUUCUGACCCUUUUGGCUUGUCGGCAUUUGCGCUUUAUCGUCCACAUUGUCUGUAUGUCGGAGAUCUUUCCUUGGCAUUGUAAUAGAGACGAAAGAAGCCGCUGUAAAGGGAAUCGUUAUGCCAAAAACUAAACGCUAGAGAAGAUGUAGAGCUCUCCUUGAAGCGAGACCCACUUGAACAAAAAACAGGAGAAGGCGUAAAUGAAUGAAGCAUGAAAAGGGACAAUCGACUGUAUGAAUGGCCGAAGGGAUAAGAGAUGUUGCUAGUACUUUCCUCUUCUGUAUACUUCUCUACGCUUUAUAUGCGAGGUACGUUUCGCGUGGCACGUAAAAGAUUCACGAAGUGCUCGAAAAGUCUCUGCUGACCGUUUUGCAAUUCCCUAAGACCGGUUUAAAGGAAGCAAAGUAGCUUAUACUAAAACAACGAAAAUUUAGAACAAUCGAAAUCAUUAUUGAGUAUUAAUAUCGUAGUAUCGUGGACAAAUGGCCUAAGAAAUAUCGGCUGAACCAUAAACAAUAUUGUGAGAAGACCUAAGUGCCGUUAGACCAAAAGGGCCUGGCAGUUUUACUAAAGAGUCGAGUGGGGGAGUUGUGAGUUGAGAGUCGAGUCGAGUAGUUGGCAGUUGAUAGUCGAGUGGUGAGCAGUCGAGUAGUGAGGAGUAGAGAGUUGAGUUGCCGAGUUGUUAUGAGUUGUGAACUAUUACAAUAGUUGUGAGUUGUGAAUUAAUUAUUUAGUUGUCUUAGUUACAGCACAUUACUGUAUUUAGUUCGCGUUAAAUAACCAUCGUUUCCUGUUUUAUCCAUUGAUCGAUAAACUUAUCAUAUAGUUUAAAGAUCAUUGGAAACCCUAAUUUCUAAUAUUUCUAAAUAAAUAAAAAAAAUCCUGUAAUAUUUAA
Long non-coding RNA from Bombus terrestris (buff-tailed bumblebee), 2886 nucleotides. RefSeq lists it as uncharacterized. The record is from RefSeq and is a predicted model, not a curated record. Lineage: Eukaryota; Metazoa; Arthropoda; Insecta; Hymenoptera; Apidae. The transcript is spliced from 3 exons.